RNAcentral lists this ribosomal RNA (370 nucleotides) under uncultured bacterium. RNAcentral describes it as "bacterial SSU rRNA". It matches the Rfam family "Bacterial small subunit ribosomal RNA", at positions 527 to 895 of the family's 1533-position model. The record is from RNAcentral.
GGAGGGUGCGAGCGUUAAUCGGAAUUACUGGGCGUAAAGGGUGCGUAGGUGGUUUGAUAAGUUAUCUGUGAAAGCCCUGGGCUCAACCUAGGAAGGCCAGAUAAGACUGUUAGACUCGAGUAUGGGAGAGGGUAGUGGAAUUUCCGGUGUAGCGGUGAAAUGCGUAGAGAUCGGAAGGAACACCAGUGGCGAAGGCGGCUACCUGGCCUAAUACUGACACUGAAGCACGAAAGCGUGGGGAGCAAACAGGAUUAGAUACCCUGGUAGUCCACGCCGUAAACGAUGUCAACUAGCUGUUGGUCAUAUGAAUGUGAUUAGUGGCGAAGCUAACGCGAUAAGUUGACCGCCUGGGGAGUACGAUCGCANGAUU